This 29-nucleotide non-coding RNA is filed under the name Rattus norvegicus (Norway rat). Lineage: Eukaryota; Metazoa; Chordata; Mammalia; Rodentia; Muridae. The record is from RNAcentral.
UGGGAGUUGUUCUAGAACCUACCUCAAGU